Molecule: transfer-messenger RNA, 331 nt
Filed under: Clostridium tetani
Lineage: Bacteria; Bacillati; Bacillota; Clostridia; Eubacteriales; Clostridiaceae
Rfam family: transfer-messenger RNA
About the family: Bacterial tmRNA, also known as 10Sa RNA or SsrA, is named for its dual tRNA and mRNA-like properties.
Source: RNAcentral
AAUGGUUUCGACGGGGGCAAGUUGCUCCUGAGAAGCGAGUCGAGGGGUCCUGGGCCCGCGUUAAAAAACUGGGAAAAAUUAUAAACGCAGACGAUAAUUUCGUUUUAGCUGCCUAAUUAGUGCAGCUCGUCCUACUUGGGAGUCCCACGACCUAAGAUAGGGCGUCAAUUAGUGGGGAACCGAGCUCUACAAAGCUUUGAGUAGAGAACGGAACUUAUGAAGCUACUGAAUCUAGAAACCUGUUUAUCGGUGUCUAGAGGAGGGAAUGUUAAAAGGUAAACUGCACUCGGAGAUGCUCAGGGGUUACUGCUUUCGGACAGGGGUUCGAUUC